RNAcentral lists this ribosomal RNA (253 nucleotides) under uncultured bacterium. RNAcentral describes it as "partial 16S ribosomal RNA". It matches the Rfam family "Bacterial small subunit ribosomal RNA", at positions 524 to 776 of the family's 1533-position model. The record is from RNAcentral.
GACAGAGGCCUCAAGCGUUAGGCGGAAUCACUGGGCUUAAAGCGUGUGUAGGCGGAUCGUUAAGUGCCUUGUGAAAUCCCACGGCUCAACCGUGGAACUGCUUGGCAUACUGGCGGUCUUGAGCCAUCUAGGGGUCGCUGGAACAAACGGUGGAGCGGUGAAAUGCGUAGAUAUCGUUUGGAACGCCUAUGGUGAAAACAGGCGACUGGGGAUGUGCUGACGCUGAGACACGAAAGCGUGGGGAGCAAACAGG